ACAGAGGCGGCAAGCGUUGUUCGGAACUAUUGGGCGUAAAGAGCAUGUAGGCGGCUAUGUAAGUCGGUUGUGAAAGCCUUCCGCUUAACGGAAGAAUGGCGGUCGAAACUGCAUGGCUUGAGUGCGGAAGAGAGAGACGGAAUUCCAGGUGUAGCGGUGAAAUGCGUAGAUAUCUGGAAGAACACCAGAGGCGCAAGCGGGUGCCUGGGCGACGUCUGACACUGAGGGACGAAAGCGUGGGGAGCGAACAG
This 251-nucleotide ribosomal RNA is filed under the name uncultured prokaryote. RNAcentral's name for it is "partial 16S ribosomal RNA". It matches the Rfam family "Bacterial small subunit ribosomal RNA", at positions 525 to 775 of the family's 1533-position model. The record is from RNAcentral.